This 383-nucleotide long non-coding RNA is filed under the name Vitis vinifera (wine grape). RNAcentral's name for it is "long non-coding RNA (VVIN_LNC003795)". The record is from RNAcentral. Lineage: Eukaryota; Viridiplantae; Streptophyta; Magnoliopsida; Vitales; Vitaceae.
AAAUCUAUAUUCUCGCAGUUUAAUUUCUCAAAGUUCAUUUCUUAUCAUUGUUAUUAUUAUUAAUUCAACUUUCAAAAUCCAUAUUCUCGCAGUCCGAUUUCUCAUAGUUCAUUUCUUAUAAUUACUAUUAUUGCACAUUCCACUUUCAAAAUCCAUAUUCUCGUAGAUCAAUUUCCUAAAGUUCAUUUCUCAUCUUCUUUGACAAAUUUCAAUUUAAGCACCGAAGCUCUAAUCUUUUAAAUUUAAUUCCAAAUACUCCAAUUUUCAAAUAAACUCCAAGAAUCCAGACUUCACUCGAAUAGUCUUAAUCCCAUUUCGGUUCCUAAAUAAUCUUCUGAUUUUCUUGAUUUUACAUAAGAAAUAGCGAAUUCUUCAUAAUUGUA